Molecule: long non-coding RNA, 1780 nt
Organism: Bos indicus x Bos taurus (hybrid cattle)
Lineage: Eukaryota; Metazoa; Chordata; Mammalia; Artiodactyla; Bovidae
Source: Ensembl
GUCUUCUUAAAUGUUCUACUGCUCAAAGCAGGUAAACGGUAUGAUAUGUGAAUUAUAUCUCAUCUACUUUUGUUUGAAAAAGCAAGAGAGUUCCAGAAAAACAUCUAUUUCUGCUUUAUUGACUAUGCCAAAGCCUUUGAUUGUGUGGAUCACAAUAAACUGGAAAAUUCUGAAAGAGAUGGGAAUACCAGACCACUUGACCUGCUUCUUGAGAAACCUAUAUGCAGGUCAGGAAGCGACAGUUAGAACUGGACAUGGAACAACAGACUGGUUCCAAAUAGGUAAAGGAGUACAACAAGGCUGUAUAUGGCCACCCUGCUUAUUUAACUUAUAUGUAGAGUACAUUAUGAGAAACGCUGGGCUGGAGGAAGCACAAGCUGGAGUCAAGAUUGCCAGGAGAAAUAUCAAUAACCUCAGAGAUGCAGAUGACACCACCCUUAUGGCAGAAAGUGAAGAAUAACUAAAGAGCCUCUUGAUGAAAGUGAAAGUGGAGAGUGAAAAAGUUGGCUUAAAGCUCAACAUUCAAAAAUGAAGAUCAUGGCCUCCAGUCCCAUCACUUCAUGGGAAAUAGAUGGGGAAACAGUGGAAACAGUGUCAGACUUCACUUUUCUGGGCUCCAAAAUCACUGCAGAUGGUGACUGCAGCCAUAAAAUUAAAAGAUGCUUACUCCUUGGAAGGAAAGUUAUGACCAAUCUAGAUAGCAUAUUCAAAAGCAGAGACAUUACUUUGUCAACAAAGGUCCAUCUACUCAAGGCUAUGGUUUUUCCAGUGGUCAUGUAUGGAUGUGAGAGUUGGACUAUAAAGAAAGCUGAGUGCCGAAGAAUUGAUGCUUUUUAACUGUGGUGUUGGAGAAGACUCUUGAGAGUCCCUCGGACUGCAAGGACAUCCAACCAGUCCAUCCUAAAGGAGAUCAGUCCUGGGAUUUCUUUGGAAGGACUGAUGCUAAAGCUGAAACUCCAGUACUUUGGCCACCUGAUGCAAAGAGUUGACUCAUUUGAAAAGACCCUGAUGCUGGGAAAGAUUGAGGGCAGGGGGAGAAGGGGAUGACAGAGGAUGAGAUGGUUGGAUGGUGUCACCAACUCAAUGGACAUGGGUUUGGGGGACUCCGGGAGUUGGUGAUGGACAGGGAGGCCUGGCAUGCUGCGGUUCAUGGGAUCGCAAAGAGUCGGACAUGACUGAGCAAGUGAACUGAACUGAACUUUUGUUCUUAAUUACUUCUUUUGGGGUAUUCUGGGUCUUCAGACUUCUCAGGUGGCUCAGUGGGUAAAGAAUCCACCUGGAAUGCAGGAGACAUAGGAGACAUGGGUUCAGUCCCUGGAUUGAGAAGAUCCCCUGGAGGAGGGCAUGGCAACCCACUCCAGCGUUCUUGCCUGGAGAAUCCUAUAGACAGAGGAACCUGGCUAGAGUCCAUGGGGUCACAAAGAGUCAGACAUGACUGAGGCGACUUAGCAUGCACGCAUGCAUGCUGGGUCUUCAUUGCUGUGCAGCUUUUUUCUAGUUGCAGUGAUCAGGGGUUUCUCAUCUCUUAUUGGGGAGCAUGGACUGUAGGCACAUGGGCUUCAGUAGUUGCAGCCCGUGGACUCAGUGGUUGUGGCCACCUGGUCUCUAAAGCACAGGCUCAGUAGUUAUGGUAUGGGCUUAGUCGCUGGGCAUCUGGGAUCUUCCCAGACUAGGAAUAGAACCCAUGCAUUGGCAGGUGGAUUCUUUAAUGAGCCACCAGGGAGACCCUCUCAUAUCAUCUUUUAAUAAAUUUAUUUAUUUUUAACUGAAGGAUAAUUGC